This 1708-nucleotide ribosomal RNA is filed under the name Triticum aestivum (bread wheat). RNAcentral's name for it is "partial small subunit ribosomal RNA". The record is from RNAcentral. Lineage: Eukaryota; Viridiplantae; Streptophyta; Magnoliopsida; Poales; Poaceae.
GCAUCUCUAAUCGAACUCCCUCAUGAUGUAACGUUCAAACUAUGAGGGAGACCAUCAGACCAAGGUUUAUGAACGGCGUUACCGUAAAAAACUUUUGGGGGAGGUGUCAACAGGCUGUAUUGAGCGUGAGGAGCUAAGGGGAGGCUGUGGUGUGAGACGAGGUAGAGGUAAAAGAGAGACGGACGAGCGGCCGGUCCGGUGCGGCGGCGCGGCGCGUCGAGGUGCGGCGGCGUAGCGCGGCGAGGUGCGGCGGCGCGGUACGUCGAUGGGGCUCGGAGGAGGGCCACGAGACGGGGCGCGUCGAGAAGGAGGCCUGGAUUUUCAGUGAAGAAAGGUAGAGCUAGACCUCCCGUACCCCUGCUCCCGCCGUUGCUCGCGCGGACAACGGCGCCACUCGAGCCAUGAGAAGCCGUCUAGGGAAGGGGUCUGAGGCGAGGGCUGCUCUCGAGUAACGACCCCGAAGGGGGGUACCUGCUCCUCCUGCUGCUCACGACGGACCGCCUCAAGAAGGCCGACGAAGGACCUCGCCAGGUCCCUCUACCCGUCGAGAGGAUGACGACCACGCCGUCAAGACGGGCUACCUGAAGAAGGUCGUCAGGACCCGACGUAAUCGACCACCACCGUCCCGAAGUAGCUCGCCUCGACGUUCAUGUCUCUCGUCCCUAAAAUACACCUCGUUAAACUGUCUGACGAAGGGUUUUCUCUACCCUUUGUUACCUUGGAAGCUGUACGUGUAUUUAGUUACCUUGGAUACGUACCACGACUAUUGUUACUACCUGUUCUAUCUCCACUUCCACGACGACAGCGAGCAGUUGUGUCAAGAUUACUACUAUCACUACUACUACCCCUAUAGCCUCUAGGAAAAGAAUGGCUAUCUAAACCUUUAAACUGUUCAACCUCCAACUCACUAAACCUCCGUCGUCGCCUCUUAGUAGAACUUCUACCUCUUUCACUUUGUCUCCAUCUUCUUUUCUUUAUAAGGUUUUUUCUUUACGAUUUCGCACUACGACUGGCAUUCUUUGUCAUGUACCGUAUACGAAAUGUCUUUAUAUUGUUACUACUCCUAGAACGACCCCUCUACGCAAAACACAAACUACUUUCAUUUCUGCUUCAAAAGUAAUAACUUCCUUUGUACUUGAGGAUACUUGUGAAGUUGAAAUGUCGAUUCGUCCGACCAAGGUGACAAGAUAAAAAACGACUUCACACUAGGGUCUGCUUCCUCUUGACACAUUACAAGAAACGACGUUCGGAAACCUAAGACUACUGUUACCUGUAACGAAACCAACAUUCUUAGUUCCAAGACACCUGAACUCCGUAGGUCGACCGCUUUCAAACAUACAACCUCCAGUACACCUAACGCUCAAGGGUAAAUACACCCUAUCAUAGUCACUCCUACUGAGACUAACUCUCCCUUCUAUAGGAUCUACCGGUAUUUCUUACAGACUACCCCCGCAACCAGAAGAAGACAAUAAGAGGUUUAAAAUUGCAGAUACACCACGGUGAAAAUAAACCUCCCGCACAUAUUAUGCAAUGUGAUCGAUAUUAAUGAAGGUUUAAGGUUUAAGUAUUCCGUGCUUGCAAGAGAGUAGACAGAACGUCGCACUGACCCGACGUGUGGCAGGCUAGCCCCACACUAGCGCGUCGCCGCCACUAACCCUGCACUGCUCAAUCAUUACACAGUACGUAACUGACCCAGCGCGAUUAGAGG